RNAcentral lists this ribosomal RNA (253 nucleotides) under uncultured bacterium. RNAcentral's name for it is "partial 16S ribosomal RNA". It matches the Rfam family "Bacterial small subunit ribosomal RNA", at positions 524 to 776 of the family's 1533-position model. The record is from RNAcentral.
UACGGAGGAAGAGAUCGUUGUUCGGAAUUAUUGGGCGUAAAGAGCGUGUAGGCGGCCUUGUAAGUCAGAUGUGAAAGCCCUUGGCUUAACCAAGGAAGUGCAUUUGAAACUGCUUGGCUUGAGUACGGGAGGGGAAAGCGGAAUUCCCGGUGUAGAGGUGAAAUUCGUAGAUAUCGGGAGGAACACCGGUGGCGAAGGCGGCUUUCUGGACCGAUACUGACGCUGAGAAGGGAAAGCGUGGGGAGCAAACAGG